RNAcentral lists this unclassified non-coding RNA (343 nucleotides) under soil metagenome. RNAcentral describes it as "partial contains 5.8S ribosomal RNA, internal transcribed spacer 2, and large subunit ribosomal RNA". The stretch from base 1 to 120 matches the Rfam family "5.8S ribosomal RNA", at positions 35 to 154 of the family's 154-position model. The record is from RNAcentral.
GAUGAAGAACGUAGCGAAAUGCGAUAAGUAAUGUGAAUUGCAGAAUCCAGUGAAUCAUCGAAUCUUUGAACGCACAUUGCGCCCGCCAGCAUUCUGGCGGGCAUGCCUGUUCGAGCGUCAUUUCAACCCUCGACCUCCCCUUGGGGAGGUCGGCGUUGGGGACCGGCAGCACACCGCCGGCCCUGAAAUGGAGUGGCGGCCCGUCUGCGGCGACCUCUGCGUAGUAAUACAGCUCGCACCGGAACCCCGACGCGGCCACGCCGCAAAACACCCAACUUCUGAACGUUGACCUCGAAUCAGGUAGGACUACCCGCUGAACUUAAGCAUAUCAAUAAGCGGAGGA